AGCAUCCUCCAUCACUCAGGAGCUAGAGGCAGGGACAGAGAGAGAGAAGGAGGGAGGCAGCUCCACCUACUCCUUAAUGAGCGUGCUGAGCCACAUUGGGACCAAUACGGACUGCGGUCAUUACACAAGUGACUGUGCCGAGGAAGGGGGACUCUGGCUCUCUCUAAAUGAUGAGGAAGUCUCCCCCACCACUCAGGAGGCUGUACUCAGAGAUAGAGCCAGCACUGCCUACAUGCUUUUUUACACCAGAAAGUGAAGUGCCCCUUUCUGGUCAUCAAGGCUCAGCACCAGACGCAGGCAGGACUCUCCUGCUCAGCAGGAGACACUCAACCAGAGACGUCACAUGUGAAAUAAGGGUUCUGUGAGAGGCUGUUGGACCUGCCCCCCCACACCAACAUCAAGCUGGCCUCCUUGGUGGGGUCUCCCCAGGACCGGAGCGCUAAAACAGCUCAGUACCAUCAAGUCCUGCUGCUGAACCCCCCCGUCCCCCCCAAACAAACGCAUACUUGCCCGAAUAAACCAAAAACCCAGUGUUUCACACA
Molecule: long non-coding RNA, 542 nt
Organism: Clupea harengus (Atlantic herring)
Lineage: Eukaryota; Metazoa; Chordata; Actinopteri; Clupeiformes; Clupeidae
Source: RefSeq, a predicted model, not a curated record